RNAcentral lists this long non-coding RNA (1287 nucleotides) under Homo sapiens (human). RNAcentral's name for it is "HSALNT0365039". Lineage: Eukaryota; Metazoa; Chordata; Mammalia; Primates; Hominidae. The record is from RNAcentral.
UCAAACCUGAGAAGCAACUCUUUGGACCAAUAGCAAAGUGAUUUCUCAGCUGUGAACUAACAGUUUGCUUUUGGAAUGAAUCAUGUGCUUUCAAUUUUCCACUUCAAAAACACACACUUCAGCAGAAGUCACUUUACAGCAAAUGAAAGAAGAAAUUUCCCCAGGGGAGAAAGGUGUUUGUUACUUAGAGGAGGGUAGAAGGGAUGACUUAGGAGCAUCUAUUUUUCCCAACUGUGAAGUCACCAGGAGGUCUUUUUGAUAUUAUUGCCCUUCUAGCCAAUAAGGCAGUGGUUUGCAAAAUGCUAGCAAUUAAGCAGUGCUCUAAUUGGCUGAAUUGUAUCUCUCUGUCCAGAGUUCUGGGAGAGAACAUAGGCAGGGUUAGGCAUGGGAGAAUGUGUCUGACUCACAACGAAGGAAUGAAGCAUGCCGGGCCUCAUCUCGGACCUGCACACUGCCCCUCAUUAUGUUCAUGAUCGGGAAAUGGAUAAAGAGUGGCCAGAAGGUGAAAAAGAAGAGAUGGCCCCCUGAAAGGGACAUCCACAUUUAUUUGAGCACCUACCAGCAAAGUGCUGGGCACACAGAAGGACAACGUGAUGAAGCGCCAUCACAUGGCUGGUAGCCUGUGGUGAGUCACCGGACUUCUCGACUCCCACCUCACUAGGGUGGAAGGAACAGUAACCACAACGCUCUGCAACUCGGGCUGCGCCCGCAUGAUUGGAAACAAUCUGUGAAAUUGUGGAGUGAACAACCCCGAAGAAAUAGACUUCUAAUUCUAGCCUUUUGGAGAUUAUUAACCCAACUCCCAGAUUCUACAGAUGAGAAAAGGGAGGCCCAGGGAGGUGGAGAAACAUGUGUAGGAUCACAGAGAUGCCUUCAGCUCUCCAAAACAACAGAAAUGAUCAAAGAUGGAGGCAAGAAGACCAGAGAACCCUAAAUGUUUACUGUCUCCAGUGUGUUUGGAAACAGCUUGGACCAGUGUAGAGUGCUGGAACAGAGAGUCAAGAGCAUCAGGUUCGAUUCCCACCCUUACAAACUGCUCAGCCUAUGGAAAUUACUUUAUGUUUCAGGCCUCACUCUUGCCAUCUUUAAAAUGGCGACACAUGUACACACCCCUCCACAGUAAAUACAGAGGUCCUGCAAGCCAGGAUGUUAAGUACUUAGGAUGAAAAUGAUGACGAUUAAGUCUAUUCUAUCACUUGAUCUGAUUCUCUCUGACUAGUCUGCAGGGGGUAAUAACAUGGCCUGCAGAUGAUCCAUAAUCCACCAUCUUCUGGUGAAAAGAGAGGA